RNA transcript from Rhododendron vialii, 2835 nucleotides. RefSeq lists it as uncharacterized. The record is from RefSeq and is a predicted model, not a curated record. The transcript has 6 exons. Lineage: Eukaryota; Viridiplantae; Streptophyta; Magnoliopsida; Ericales; Ericaceae.
GUAUGUUAAGAAGUCUGUACAUAUAUUGUGUAUUAGUUUUAUGAGCUUAUUUUACAUAUUUUACUAGUAUUUCGUAUGUUGGAUUGUUGGUUAUUAUGUAAUAUGGUGAUGUUUAUUCUGAUUUUGCUGGUAGGAGUGAAUAUUGGUCAUUUAUGUAGUUUAUAUUUUUUUUUUUAAACGCUCGCCUCACUUCAAUGAGGCGCUUGCCUCGCCUCGCUUCAAUGAGAGCUUUGUCGCCUCGCGUAUUUAAAUCACUGCUAUGAAUACAAGUGUUUAUGAACUCUUUUGUUGCAGUGGAACAGUCAUUCACAAAGAGUGUUUGAAGUCCUCAUAUCGGCAAUUGUUCCAUGCUGGUUAUCUAAGAAUGGCAGCAUAGGCACAUUGCUUCAGAUUUUUGUGAAUGUAAUACCUGAAGUUGCUGAGCAUAGAAGGCUACCAAUUACUUACAUCUUUUGAGGUAUUAGAGAACUUCCUUCAGUCUAGGUAUCUUUGCUUUUAACUUGAUUGACAAGCUUUUUCCUUCUGGGACUCUUGGAGAGAUUGCUAGCUUGGGUUCAUUACUUUUUCUCCUUUUCGGUACAUUGGUUUCAAGGAAACUAUUAUCUGCCCUGAUGAUAGUCUACACUCGUGGGAUCACUUAACUUCUCUUACUCGUAUAGAAUGAGAGUUCGUAUUUGCAAUGAGAAUAUUUGAGCAGUAUUCAUGCAUGAUAUGGCUUCCUUCACUUGUUAAGCUGCUUCAACAAAUAGAAAUUGGUACUUGUGGUUUACAAAGUUUUAAGGAACUGCUAGUUGCUAUGCAGUUCAUUUCAAACAAACCGCUAGAUCCUGAAAUUACAUUUAUGCUCAGUUCUGGUGAAGAAUCGAAUGAUGUUCAGAGAACACUUGGAGCACUUAUGGAAUGUAUUGUUUCUCAUUUACAACUAGUUGACUCGAGCUGAAAGAAUGUAAAUUUUUCCACAGUCAUCAGGAAAGAGAUCAAGGAGUUAAUGCGUACUGUCUUGAAAAAUAUUAUGAAGGGGCUCAUGCCGUCAACAUACUUCAAUGGGAUUUCCCUAUUAAGUUGCUGAAACAUGCAGGGAGAAGUGUGAGGAGGAAAGUUCUUGGGCUUCUGUCGGAAACUGUCAAAGACUCUAACACUACGAAACUGAAGCGUGGGAGUAGGGGUUUGACUUCGUAGUCAAGUUCUUGGGUUCAUCUAGAUGACAGUGCUGUGGAGUCAUUUGGGGAGAUGUGUUUGGAAAUUGUCAAGUUGGUUGCUGAUUCUCUCGAUGAUUCUAGAACUUCGUUAAAUGUGGCAGCUGUUUCAGUGAUGGAAGUUGUGGUGUCUAAGUUUCCUUCCUAUUAUUUGAUAUUCAGCACGUGCCUCUCCUCUAUGGCCAGACAUAUCCAGUCAGACAUUGUGGCUUUCUCUUCUUCCUACGUUCGAAUGACUGGUGCUUUGAUCGAUGUGCUUGGUCCAAGUGCCCUUCUCAAGCUUCCUUCUAUCAUGGAGAAUGUGAUGAGUAGGUCUCGCGUUGUCUCUUCAUCUGUGUCUGCAAUAACCAAUUAUGGUGAAGAUAGCACUUCUACGUUGUCAACAUCCUCCAAGGAACCUCUCUUCACUUCUAUUCUUCUCGCAUUCAUGGUAGUUAUUGACAAGCUUGAUGGGUUUUUAAACUCAUAUCUUGGAGACAUUCUAAAACUGAUGGUGUUGCAUCCCAAGUUUUUGCCUGAGUCAGAUCCAAAAUUAAAAUCGAAAGCUGAUGUAGUUCGAAAGCUUAUAACUGAGAAAAUAACUGUCUGACUUUUGCUUCCACCGUUGCUGAGCUUAUACUCUGAAGCUAUUAAAUCUGGUUAUUCAAUUUUAUCAAUUGCUUUUGAAAUGUUCGGAAAUUUGGUCCGAACAAUGGAUAAAUGAUCAAUUGUUGCUUAUCAUGCAAAAAUAUUCGACUUAUGUUUGGUAGCACUUGAUCUUCGCCGUCAACAUCCUGUUUGAACUAGGAGCAUUGAGGAUGUUGAGAAAUAUGUCAUUAGCAAAACGAUAUUUCUUACUAUGAGCUUACAGAGACAAUGUUCAAGCCUCUAUUCAUUAGGUGUAUCGAGUGGGCCGACUCAGAUUUGUAUGAAACUGGAGGUGUGGGAAGCACAAAUCUUGAUAGGGCAAUUUCUUUCUAUGGAUUGGAACAUAGACUAGCUGAAAGCCACAGGUGCUGUGUUUAUCUUUUCCUCUACCAAUUUAGAGGUAUUGUUGCUGCUUGGAGGUGUUACUGCUACUGUUGCUGCAUUUUCAGGUUCACAAUUUGAAGGAUUAAUUUUAUUCCUUCACCACUUGAUGCUGCUAUCUUUUGAUUCAAAAUGGAAAUAUGGAUUUCUGCUCAGAGGCUAUCUUAGAUUGAACUGCCGUUUAUGUCUAAUAUUCCAUUCUCCAGCACACUAAAACUUCUAAUCUAUGUAAAUAUUGACUGCUUGCAAGAUUUUCAGGUUCCCGCGUAUUGCAGACAUAGUGGAUGAACGGCCCAAAAAAUAUUAGCAAUCUAAUCUAUGUAUUCAAAACAACGGCACGACAAUCAUGCGUAGCACAUAGCAAUGUCACUAAUUGGCAUAAAGUGUUGACUCGUAGAGGUCUUUGGAUGGGUAAUGGCGAGAGAAGACAAUACAAGAAAGAAAAAAUUAGAAUCAUAUCACUUAUUGGAUGAUUGAAAGGUGUGAGAAAUGAUAAGAAAUGAUGAGCAUUGUUGAUUUUUCUUGGUCUAUAUUUGUUUUUCCUCAAAUCUCACCCAAAUAGAUUUGGUGAGACCUUUCUUUUGUUACUAUUUCUCACAAGCAAGGGGCUUUAGAGAAAUGGCGAAUCCUU